CUUCCAAUGCGGUUCUAAUUCUAGACAUGAAUAAGAUCCCCAGUGCAUGGGAACCCAGCAAUAGAUGGGUUGACAUUUGUAACAAAACCACGAAGAAUAAUUUUGACGGUGUGUUCUCAACUUCUCGUACCAUUCGUGUGCACUGCUCUGUGAAUGUGUGAUUGAUCCCGAGAGAGAGAAAGAGAAAGGUCUUACUUAACGUCCCAAAGAUGAUCAUGAGAUGCCCAAAUCUUUCAUGUCCAUCUCUUUGUAGUACAACUUUGUACUACAUCUCUUUGUAGUACAACUUUAUACUACAUCUGCAGCAUGUAAUAUGGGUCACUGGCUCACUACCUUUUCGACGCCAUGGCGGCUGGCCUUCUUUUUUUUUGUGUAAGAAAAGGAAGAAGCAAACGCAAAAUCACACAUUCAGGAAGCAUAUGUACGAAUGGUAUGAGAGGAGAUAUUGUCAAAUUGAUUGUUUCAUGUUUUGUUCUAUAAAGGUCGAUUGAUCUCUUACCGGGUUCCCAUCCAUGCACUCAGGGUCGUAUUCCUCGCUAGAACUACUACAACCCCGCGAGCGAACGAUCUAAGAAAAAAAACACGGAUUAGAAAUCCUCUCAAGGCUCUUCCUCGAUCACCGAGGACACACACCGGCGACACGACGACACGCGCAUGUCCGAGGCGUUGAGACGGUGUGUCCUUCUUGAACACGCUGCAUACACCUAGUCCUCCACAGCUUUGCCAAUGUUGGCCGGGGUGGCUAAGAAGACAGGCGUUUCCUUGAGGGGCAUGGACACGUGACGCGGCGACCCGACAACUAGCUCCGCCUCCUUCCUGACACCAUCCACGCGCCAUUCCCGCGCGCACAUCUCAUCGCCGACCAACUGAAAGAGAAUCUCUCGUUGCGCCUCUCGUGGUGUGCCCGCACACUCACAGAUACAUAAUGCCAUCGGUCUAUAAUUAAUCUGUGGGCGUCGAAAGAGUGGCUGGCAUGGAUCAUGGACAUUAGCGGGGUUGGUUCGAGCCUGGGAGGUCAGAUGGAUUGAGUAGAGGCGAGGACUAGGAUGAUGUUUGCUUUCAGAGGAGAAUGCAAAACGUUUGCUUGGUAGUAAAGGCCCAUCUCAAUUAUGGGCUCCAAUGUCUUGUGGCGGACCGUAAAUGCAAAGGGAAAAUGGCCCAGCAAGGCCAUUCACAAAAAAACCGAGGGACGAAAAACUAAAAGUAACAUUUAAUUUCUAGUUUACAGAAAAAUAAAAACAAAAAAAACUCACCGGUGGUGGCACGACGACGGCGGGCUCCUGACGGCAACAUGAUCUGCGAAGCCCUCCCGUCGGCAACCGAUAUGGGCCAUGGCGGCGGCGGGGCCGCCAGAUCCGGCCUCCCGACGACUUUCCUUUCAGCCCGCGUCUUCCCUAGCGGUGAUGUCUCGACAGCGGCGGAUCUCGGAUGCGUUGCUCAGAUCUGCCAUAUUCCUGCGAUGACAAAAGAUCUCCAGGUAGUAACUGGAUACGAUGGCAUCGGACGGCACCAUGGGGAGAGGGUUGCGACAACGACGUGUGAAUGGGAAGGGGAGAGUGCGCGGUGGGCGUGAGGAGGGAGAUGGCUACAGGCGUGAGGGGCGACGCGCGAGAAGAAGAAAGAGAGAUGGAUGCCCUGGGGCUAAGGAGGAGGAGGAGGAGGAGGAAGAUUAGGUUGGGAGAGAGCGAGGUCAGCGUGUGGGAGAAGGAGUAGGCGGGGAAAGAGGAUGGCUUGUGCAUGAGGAGGAAGGACCGAGCUAAAAAAGACAGUGAAGUGUAGCGGACGCAACCUGUGGAAUAGUCCGCCACGCGCGGACGAGGUUUCUUCUGCAAAAAGAAAUGGAGAAUUUUCUAUUGUUUUUUCAAAGGAGAAUGCAAAACGUUUGCUUGCUAGUAAAGGCCCAUCUCAAUUAUGGGCUCCAAUUCCUUGUGGCGGACCGUAAAUGCAAAGGGGAAAUGGCCCAGCAACGCCCAUUCACAAAAAACCGAGGGACC
This 1994-nucleotide long non-coding RNA is filed under the name Brachypodium distachyon (stiff brome). RNAcentral describes it as "long non-coding RNA (BDIS_LNC002730)". The record is from RNAcentral. Lineage: Eukaryota; Viridiplantae; Streptophyta; Magnoliopsida; Poales; Poaceae.